This 460-nucleotide ribosomal RNA is filed under the name uncultured bacterium. RNAcentral describes it as "partial 16S ribosomal RNA". It matches the Rfam family "Bacterial small subunit ribosomal RNA", at positions 338 to 795 of the family's 1533-position model. The record is from RNAcentral.
CCUACGGGGGGCAGCAGUGAGGAAUAUUGGUCAAUGGACGAGAGUCUGAACCAGCCAAGUAGCGUGAAGGAUGACUGCCCUAUGGGUUGUAAACUUCUUUUAUAUGGGAAUAAAAUGUUCCACGUGUGGGAUUUUGUAUGUACCAUAUGCAUAAGGAUCGGCUAACUCCGUGCCAGCAGCCGCGGUAAUACGGAGGAUCCGAGCGUUAUCCGGAUUUAUUGGGUUUAAAGGGAGCGUAGGUGGAUUGUUAAGUCAGUUGUGAAAGUUUGCGGCUCAACCGUAAAAUUGCAGUUGAAACUGGCAGUCUUGAGUACAGUAGAGGUGGGCGGAAUUCGUGGUGUAGCGGUGAAAUGCUUAGAUAUCACGAAGAACUCCGAUUGCGAAGGCAGUUCACUGGACUGCAACUGACACUGAGGCUCGAAAGUGUGGGUAUCAAACAGGAUUAGAUACCCUUGUAGUC